RNAcentral lists this long non-coding RNA (292 nucleotides) under Setaria viridis. RNAcentral's name for it is "long non-coding RNA (SVIR_LNC003633)". Lineage: Eukaryota; Viridiplantae; Streptophyta; Magnoliopsida; Poales; Poaceae. The record is from RNAcentral.
GGUGCUUAUGCCACCCGCCAGGAAUAUAUAUUUUCCCAUCUAAUAUAUUAUUUCCCGUGAGUUAUUUAUAAUUUUUAUUUCCCGUCAGGUGUUAGCCGUCAAAUUGAAAUACGUAUCUCCAACCAUAUAACAACAAACUAGAAUAAUAAAUAAUUCGCAUUAUUCAAAACUGCAUCGUACAUAAUAUAUAAGUCACAUUAUUAAAAAUCCAACAUUUGGAAUAGAGCUAUUCUUCGCCACGCUAAUAUUAAAACUACUACGCCCAUCUACGAAGAUCUUUGCAGUCGUCCGC